GUUGUAUGGUUAAGUGACUAAGCGUACACGGUGGAUGCCUUGGCAGUCAGAGGCGAUGAAAGACGUAAUAACUUGCGAUAAGCCCAGAUUAGGUAGUAAUAACCAUUUGAGUCUGGGAUUUCUGAAUGGGGAAACCCACGUGCAUAAGCACGUAUCGUUAUGUGAAUACAUAGCAUAACGAGGCAAACCCGGGGAACUGAAACAUCUA
This 208-nucleotide ribosomal RNA is filed under the name Vibrio sp. UCD-FRSSP16_10. RNAcentral's name for it is "partial 23S ribosomal RNA". It matches the Rfam family "Bacterial large subunit ribosomal RNA", at positions 1 to 204 of the family's 2925-position model. RNAcentral also lists the same sequence under 1 other name. Lineage: Bacteria; Pseudomonadati; Pseudomonadota; Gammaproteobacteria; Vibrionales; Vibrionaceae. The record is from RNAcentral.